CACAUUCAUCGGCAUCUGAUGCGGGCCAAGUUUGUUCUCAUGCUAUAAAACGGGAAGUCAGUAACACGGCAGGUCACAGAAUUUUUCCAGUCAAUUUUUUUUUAAGCCAAAAAGUUCUUUAAGAGGAAAUCAAAAUGGAGAACCCUCGAGGGAAGUAUCAGAGGAGGGAUCCCGAUUUUAUCUGCAACUGUGGUUAAAGAAAAUAAUCAAAAAAAAAGUUUAAUCUUCUGAAAUGCCAUAUAAAAUGUUUUGUAUUGUAGUAUUUGUUAAUCAGGACGUUUUAUUCAAAUAAAAUAAAAGCUGUGCUUCUUUAGAAUUGCUGCUUCAACACAUCUUCAUAUCCUGCAAAACCAGUAUCCUUAAAUUAUAUUAUACAGAUGGUUAUAUUAGUGCUUAAAUUGCAUUUGAUGCUUUCUGCAGAUUGCCCCAGCUUUCCUUUCCUGGCUGAUUGGCUGCCAGUCAUCUUUAUGUCUGUCUGUCUUUUUUUAAUCUGCAGUAUUACGUGUGUGAGCUCUGUCUGAGGCAGUGCCCCCGUCAGAUUUUCAAGGUGUCAGUCUGUGGUUUGCUGCCUCCUCUGCAUGAUACUGGUUGGAGUUUUUGUGAGAAACAUUGUGCACGAGAGAGCAGGGGGCUGAUGUUUGUGAGAAAAUGAGAACAGAACUGAAUAGAGCUCAUGAAAGAGACGACAGAACACAUAUGAAGAGCCUGCCUUUCUCACACACAGUGAGACAAAACAUCAUGGUGGCUGAACAGUCCAGUCUGUUAAUUUAGUUUUUGCAUAUCCCACUUUGGUUCAAAUAGCCUAUAUAGGCGUUUCUUUACAAUGAAUAUCAAUCUUUUCAUAAAAGAAUAUAGUCAUAUAUCAAUAUUUGACACGAACACAAACAUAAAAUGAAUGACAAAUGCUUUCAGUUUCGUUAUUGCAAAAAACACACUUUUCCUCAACAUCAAUCCUGAAUCUUAAUACCACUGUUAUUUUAUUUGAUACACGUAUUAUAGCAGUGAGUGCAGCGGUAACGUCAGAUCCUAUUUAUGCUGGGGAGAGAGGGUAGUUCGUCUGAAAGUUGUCGUUGUAGCCUAUUUAAAACCUAUGCGGGUUAGGGAGCUUGAUUUGGCCUGGAGGGUGACUUCGACCAGAGUUCACUCCCUGUGGAUUGGAAGUGGCGAGGGUCUAGUUUCGGAAAGGCCCUGUCUGUCAUUUGUCCCACACUUAUAGCAUCACCUGGACAUUUGCUGGAACAUUUCACGGCACCUCUACCAAACAUCCCCCACCCCCCGCCUUCACUCCGACAGUCUGACAUAGGCUACUUAACACAGUUACACACAGAUGCAGGGAUUCCAGCUCUGUGUUCUGCAGAUAUGUUUUUAAGUAGGCUAACAAGCAUAGCUUUGAGGCCACAGGCUAUUUUAGGGAACCUUGCUUCCUCAAAGUGAGCUCUGUGUGAUUUCAAAGAUCCGCUAGGUAGGUCUUUAAAAUUGGGAUUUAUUACAGUCCAGCUUUCAGGGAUGACAUCCACAAGGGGCCCAAGCCUGUUCCUGGUGCUUGCCUCCAUGAGAAAAAAACAACACCACAUUUCACUAUCAGCAUGGGUGAAACACCAAAUGUAGCGCAAAAAGUAAGGAAAUUUGUGUUUGCUAGAUUAUUUCUUUGUUGCAUCAAUGCUUCUUGGCAAUACAUCGUAUGCCAUUGGAAAGCCUGUAAAAUGGUGCCACAUUUGUAAGGAACAUGUAUUUGUGGGAUCAGCAGCAGAGCAGAGUGUGUGGGUUGUGCCCACGAAAAAUGUGCUAAAUGUUCUCUGAAAAUGCCAAACAGCUUUUCUUUGCUGUUGACUCUUGUUUGGUGUUUUGGUAGUUUUUGGUAAUUGUAGUAUCACAUUACUAGACUUACAGGUUUUGAGUGUUGAGCCACAGCGGCAGUGGCCGAGCCUACAUUACUAAACAUUCUACGCUACGGCUGCUUUGGAAGUUAACAUUUUCACAUAAGUUUUACCUUAAUGAAAUGCUCAGAUGAAGUGAUUCUUUCCAUUUGGCAGAAUCUCAAACCUCCAACACACACAAUCAAGGUAAGCAAUACCAUCCUGUUGCAUUCAGGCAGUCAUAAACCCUCGCUGAGCAAAUAUUUACAUUAACUGUCAUCACAGGUAUUCAUAUAUGCAGUAUUACUAUACUUUCAGCUUUAACGCAGAAUACGUACAUUUAUAUUUGAAAAACUAUUAGAAAAAAUUAGAAAUGUGUGGAAUAUUACUAUUAAACUUAAACUGAGCUUUCUUGAAGGUCUAUGAAGGAUAGGAGACAUUUUUAGCUAACAUUUGACCUUUAGCCUGCUAUGUAGUUGUUGUGGGGUAUUUCAUUUCACUCUACAUCACUUACAGCAUGCCAUGCUACAGAGUACUGUGUGACCUCACAGCCAUCUUGACUGGCAGGAAGCAGGUGUUUGUGGUUCUUUGCAGCUCAGUGGUUUAGCAUGUGCAAUAGUUGCCUCCAGGAUGUGAAUCCUUUAAACUAGCAGUGUUAGCAGCAUGCAGCGCUGUGGAAAAGCAAUGCAUUCCUCAGUUUUACAAUUUUUGGACUUACUACUUUCUGCUGGGAAGUUUGGCUGUAUUCAAUCUCACAUCCAUGUGGAAUUAUGAAAUCACAUCAGUUUAGAAAUUAGACAGCGAGAAAUCUCAUGAUGAAUAAGGGAAAAGGCCAGCCUUUCAUUGCCAGCACACUCUGUCAAUCAGCUCAGCGCAGCGGGGUUCUGCAGAGGAACAGAAAGUAUGGAAGAAAGUCAGGGCUUCACACUGUUAAGGACCCCUGCAAGUUACUGUCAAUAAGAGAUAUGCUGCGUAGAAAAGCUCAUGUUUUGGAAAACAAAGGACUGUUUGACACUGUCACAGGAACAAGGAGUGGCUUGGCGCUACGAGACAGAGCACUGAUGUCUGAUCCAGACAAAAGCCUUGCUUGUCUGGAUCACAGUGGCUGCUGUGUUGAAAAUUUCAACUCUCAAGUCUCAACCUGGCUCGACAGAAAGUUAUUCUCAUUUUAACAGCAUUAUCAAAGUUCUCCAAAGAGAGAACUGGAUCACAUUGGUGCAAUUAAUUAUUGUGCUAUUGCCCAAGUAUUGUUUACCUCAGCAUAUGUUUCCUUCUUGGUUAGUGCAGCUCUGGCUUUUUUCUGUCUCUGCCCCCCUUCAGCGUAUCUCUCCAGCUAUAAAUUCUCAAAAUGAUUCAAAAACGCACGCAGUUUGAUACACACCCCUGCCAAAACAUCGCCCUUAUACUCUUCCAAUCAGCCACUUCCUUUCAGCUCCUUUACUGUUUCCUUUAUCUUUCUUCUGCUCCAUAUCACCUCCCUCAUUAUGUAGCCACACAAGAGGAUGAUGGAGACACAACAAGCCAUCCACUGCCACCCUUCCAUAAUAUAUAACUGGACAUGAGCUUUAAUAGACACUGUUUCAUCUCUCACCUCUCUCCCACUUUUUCUCUUUCAGUUUUCAAGGGAAAUCAAGGUUCCAUGUGGCCUGACUGAUUACACCCUGAUUGAUUCAAAUUUAAUUUAAUUUAUAUGGACAGAAUGGAUCUCAGCCACGAGGACCCAACAGCAGUUUCACAAGAUUGCCUUUGUGUUUCUGAGGGGAAAGGUUCCUUGUCAAUAUGUCUAUAUUGUUUUGUUCAUAGUGUUAGUGUUGUCUGUACUGUAGUUUGUGUCUGAUUUUAUUUUAUUAUUAUUUUAUUAUUGUAUUAUGGUAUUUUUGUACAAGUAAGCACAUCGGGAGCAAUGUAUAAUCCUGAGUCGAAUUCCUCGUAUGUGUACACAUACCUGGAAAUAAAGCGGAUUCUGAUUCUGAUUCUUCUUGGCAUAGGCUUUGCAGGCACUUGAAUGCAAGUGGGCUCAGAGAAUGUGAGUGACAUGCGGAAGGGCAGAAACAGAUCAAGAGGCACGCAGAAGAGACAGGAAACACAAGAGAGACAGUCAACAGUGGGCCAAGUCCGACUAAACACAACUGGAACACAAAGUUAAGCCACUCAUGAAGCUGCAUGGAUCUACAGAUGAUUUUCAACCAUUCAAUGUGAUGGCAGAGAAUUGUAAAUUGGAAUUCAGUCUACUGCUGAUUCCAGUGUAAAACCUGCAGGGUUGAACACGUCAAUUGAGAUCCUUGUAUUUACCGGGAAUACAAAUCAAAAUAUGUAUAUGUUUGUGUUUGUGCACCUUUGCAUACUGAGGACAUUUGUUCUCCUACUGCUCCUAAUGCUAUUUGCAAGAAUCCAUGGCGACCAAGGAAUGAGGUUUUGCAGGGCAAACGGCUCCUUCUGCUGCCUAACGAACUUGUGGGAUUGGUUCGGAGGGGCUUAGCAGAGUGAUAGAAGCAGCAGAGAGAGAUAAGGAAGGUUUUGCAUUGUAUGUUCAGUUGUUGCCGACUGUAGCUUUAAGUCUCAGCUUGAAAUGGAGCAAAAUAAUUUGAAGUGGCAGCCUAUGGUUAAUAUUUUUUAUAAAUAAAUAAAUUAAGCCAAAUCUGUAAUGGAA
Long non-coding RNA from Micropterus salmoides (largemouth bass), 4506 nucleotides. RefSeq lists it as uncharacterized. NCBI's taxonomy places the organism in Eukaryota, Metazoa, Chordata, Actinopteri, Centrarchiformes, Centrarchidae. The record is from RefSeq and is a predicted model, not a curated record. The transcript is spliced from 2 exons.